GACUACAGGGGUAUCUAAUCCUGUUUGCUACCCACGCUUUCGUGCAUGAGCGUCAGUAUCGACCCAGGGGGCUGCCUUCGCCAUUGGUGUUCCUCCACAUCUCUACGCAUUUCACUGCUACACGUGGAAUUCCACCCCCCUCUGCCGUACUCUAGCCUUGCAGUCACAAACGCAGUUCCCAGGUUAAGCCCGGGGAUUUCACGCCUGUCUUACAAAACCGCCUGCGCACGCUUUACGCCCAGUAAUUCCGAUUAACGCUCGCACCCUACGUAUUACCGCGGCUGCUGGCACGUAGUUAGCCGGUGCUUCUUAUUCCGGUACCGUCAUCUGCACAGGGUAUUAACCCAUGCAUUUUCUUCCCGGCUGAAAGAGCUUUACAACCCGAAGGCCUUCUUCACUCACGCGGCAUGGCUGGAUCAGGGUUGCCCCCAUUGUCCAAAAUUCCCCACUGCAGCCGCCCGUAGG
This 465-nucleotide ribosomal RNA is filed under the name uncultured Rhodocyclaceae bacterium. Its description in RNAcentral is "partial 16S ribosomal RNA". The record is from RNAcentral. Lineage: Bacteria; Pseudomonadati; Pseudomonadota; Betaproteobacteria; Rhodocyclales; Rhodocyclaceae.